RNAcentral lists this ribosomal RNA (635 nucleotides) under Bacillus sp. (in: firmicutes). RNAcentral describes it as "bacterial SSU rRNA". It matches the Rfam family "Bacterial small subunit ribosomal RNA", at positions 48 to 662 of the family's 1533-position model. The record is from RNAcentral. Lineage: Bacteria; Bacillati; Bacillota; Bacilli; Caryophanales; Bacillaceae.
CUAAUACAUGCAAGUCGAGCGGAUUGAUGGGAGCUUGCUCCCAGUCAGUCAGCGGCGGACGGGUGAGUAACACGUGGGUAACCUGCCUGUAAGACUGGGAUAACUCCGGGAAACCGGGGCUAAUACCGGAUAACUCAUUUCCUCGCAUGAGGAAAUGUUGAAAGGUGGCUUUUAGCUAUCACUUACAGAUGGACCCGCGGCGCAUUAGCUAGUUGGUGAGGUAACGGCUCACCAAGGCGACGAUGCGUAGCCGACCUGAGAGGGUGAUCGGCCACACUGGGACUGAGACACGGCCCAGACUCCUACGGGAGGCAGCAGUAGGGAAUCUUCCGCAAUGGACGAAAGUCUGACGGAGCAACGCCGCGUGAGUGAUGAAGGUUUUCGGAUCGUAAAACUCUGUUGUUAGGGAAGAACAAGUACCGUUCGAAUAGGGCGGUACCUUGACGGUACCUAACCAGAAAGCCACGGCUAACUACGUGCCAGCAGCCGCGGUAAUACGUAGGUGGCAAGCGUUGUCCGGAAUUAUUGGGCGUAAAGCGCGCGCAGGUGGUUCCUUAAGUCUGAUGUGAAAGCCCACGGCUCAACCGUGGAGGGUCAUUGGAAACUGGGGGAACUUGAGUGCAGAAGAGGAAAGU